Molecule: ribosomal RNA, 358 nt
Filed under: uncultured bacterium
Lineage: Bacteria
Description: bacterial SSU rRNA
Rfam family: Bacterial small subunit ribosomal RNA
Source: RNAcentral
AGAGUUUGAUCCUGGCUCAGAACGAACGCUGGCGGCAUGCCUAACACAUGCAAGUCGAACGAGACCUUCGGGUCUAGUGGCGCACGGGUGCGUAACGCGUGGGAAUCUGCCCUUGGGUUCGGAAUAACAGCUAGAAAUGGCUGCUAAUACCGAAUAAUGACGUAAGUCCAAAGAUUUAUCGCCCAAGAAUGAGCCCGCGUAGGAUUAGCUAGUUGGUGAGGUAAAAGCUCACCAAGGCGACGAUCCUUAGCUGGUCUGAGAGGAUGAUCAGCCACACUGGGACUGAGACACGGCCCAGACUCCUACGGGAGGCAGCAGUGGGGAAUAUUGGACAAUGGGCGAAAGCCUGAUCCAGCAA